CCUACGGGUGGCAGCAGUGGGGAAUAUUGGGCAAUGGGCGCAAGCCUGACCCAGCAACGCCGCGUGAAGGAAGAAGGCCCUCGGGUUGUAAACUGCUUUUGUACCGGGGUAAAAUGCUCUACGAGUAGGGUUUUGAAAGUACGGUACGAAUAAGGCUCGGCUAACUCCGUGCCAGCAGCCGCGGUAAUACGGAGGAUCCGAGCGUUAUCCGGAUUCAUUGGGUUUAAAGGGUGCGUAGGUUGUUUUAUAAGUUAGCGGUGAAAUACCGAUGCUCAACAUCGGGGCUGCCGCUGAUACUGUAGGACUAGAGAUCGUAUGCAGCAGGCGGAAUGUGUAGUGUAGCGGUGAAAUGCAUAGAUAUUACACAGAACACCGAUUGCGAAGGCAGCUUGCUAGGCCGGAUCUGACACUGAUGCACGAAAGCGUGGGGAUCGAACAGGAUUAGAUACCCCUGUAGUC
Molecule: ribosomal RNA, 459 nt
Filed under: uncultured bacterium
Lineage: Bacteria
Description: partial 16S ribosomal RNA
Rfam family: Bacterial small subunit ribosomal RNA
Source: RNAcentral